RNAcentral lists this long non-coding RNA (645 nucleotides) under Bos taurus (domestic cattle). RNAcentral describes it as "long non-coding RNA NONBTAT024322". Lineage: Eukaryota; Metazoa; Chordata; Mammalia; Artiodactyla; Bovidae. The record is from RNAcentral.
AAGCAGCUCCAAAGAACUAACACAGUGGCCGAGUAAGACAUGGAGCCUCGACCCCUGUCUUCCAUUCACCACUCUGUGCUCCACAGCCUCUGACUGAUCUCAACCUACUCAAACACACUCCAAGGCAUGGAGAAAAACAGAGAAGCCAACCUUUCCCGGGAUGAAGGCAAGAACAGGAGUGCUAACUCUAAUCUCUGCCUCAGGGUAACCCUUAAAGUCAGCAGAGUUUCUCUGGGUACACAAACCCUCCCUGCCCUGACUGCAAGUUUCUAACCCACAGGGAGUUGAAAAUAUUUCUGCUACUCAAGACUUAAAUGCAGCCCUUCUGGCAUUAGGGGCUAAGGAUAAUGACCGUGUUCUCCCCAGACUCUUUCUCUUACGGUUGUUGGAGAGAAGGCCAUGAGAUAAAUUACCUAAAGCUGCUGGUGCAGGCACUCAGGAAAUAUUCAUACCCUCCUUCCCUUUCUCCUCCAAUCCCCCUGCAGCCCACAUCAUGACAGGCCUCAUUGCCGACCAAUGUUCCUUGUCUACUCAAAUGUCCCAAGUCAUCUUUCUUGACAGAAUGUCGCCAUGAAGGAAAAAAAGCUAAAGACUGGAAAUAGUGAUAAAUUACUUGUUGUUUUGGAGGUUUUCUACCCUUCAGAC